This is a long non-coding RNA of Oreochromis aureus, 2329 nucleotides long. RefSeq lists it as uncharacterized. The record is from RefSeq and is a predicted model, not a curated record. Lineage: Eukaryota; Metazoa; Chordata; Actinopteri; Cichliformes; Cichlidae. The transcript has 2 exons.
UCCAUCCAUCUAUCUGCCAAUCUAUCAUAGACACGUGUUAAAAUAUUAAUAUUUACCUCACGUAGGCGCGUCCAAAUACAUCGAAAUAAAGCAAAAAAAAAAAAAAAAAAGUUAAAAAAGUAAAAAGAUAAUUUAAAAAAUAAAAUAAUUAUUGUCGGUCUUAAAGUACAUAAGAUGUCCGACCAAUGUAAAAAAUAAUAAUAAUAAUAACAUUUUAAAAAGUGGGUUUAUUUAUAUUACACAGUUGAUUGCUUCGCAGUGGGAAGGUCACUUUAAAAAAAUGAAAUUAAAUAUUUACCAAUGGUAAGAGUUCUGCGUUAAAAUCGUGCUCGUUACCCCUAAUCAUUUAAAGUAGUGGGUCAUGCUUGGAUUUCACCACUUGUUGACAGCAUUUUCAGCCGAUCGGAGCCUUUUCAAUGCUGCUUAAUUUCUCACGCUUUCGCACUGCUGGCAUGAGGCGCAGAAACAAGCAAACGAGACGCCGUCAUUCCGCGAAACAUUUGCGUACGGGUGGAAUCUAGGGAGUACUUGUUGCGAGCCAUACGGCGGUGGCAGCGUCCCGGAGCUGUCAAAUACUGCGCACAACCUUCAGUCCUCAGUCAGUGGAGUAACCAGACUAAUCCAUCAGACCAGCAGCUCAGAAGAUUAACCUUUUUUUUUUCUUCAUUGUAUUUUUCUUCUAUUUUAUUAUUUUUAUUUUUUAGCUUCGGAAAACUAGUUUUUGUCCGCGAAACCGGAAACCUGAUUUUAAAAUCACGAUCUUUUUUUCUCUCUUUUUUUGUCACAUGGCUUUGGAGAAUUCAAUAACAACAAAAAAUGGCGACAAUCACGUUGCUCUGUGUGGUCUUGCUGCGUCAUUAAAAAUAUUCAUGUAAACACGGGGCGUUAAACAGGGGGAUUGCAGUGCCCCUGUGCAGCGGGGCUAAUGGAGUUGUUUACAUGAAGUACAGAGGGCGGGCAGACGACGACGAGGAGGAGGAGCAGCUACGGCCAGCGACGCGACCGGACUGCUCGAGAGGCUUCUCGCGCGGCGCGCGCGGGUAAGGGAGGGGAAGGGGAGGAACCCGCGAGGAGAAUCAUAACAAGUCUGACAUCACUCGGCCUUGUGGCUGGUAUGAAUAGCCUGUGUACAGUAGGCAGUUUGUGUCGAAGAAGUCAUGGCGGGAAGGCGGUGAGGGAGUGCAAUGUUGUUGUUUCAAGAUGGGAAACGUUAGCCAGCCUUUGUGUGCGGCAGCAAAAUGGAAACAAAGAUGAGAAACCUGAGUGGUUUUUGUUUUGGGUAUUUUUUUUUAUGUGGAACGAGGACUCUGACUAACUAAGCGGGUCAAACCGCAUGCGCAGUCUUGCCCCCGCCCCCUUUUCAAGACAGGUAAAACCCCUGUAAAAAAAAAUUAAAUCGUGUUUCCUUAUGAAAACCGCUUUGCUUCACGUUUCACAGCUCUCCACCGAGGCACCUGUGACUCUCACUGUGCAGCUCUCAUACCUGAGCAAGGAAAAAAGGGUGUAGAAACAUUAUUAGGAUAUAGCUUAAUGCAUAGCAGAGUCUGCCUUUUAAAAACAUUGAUAACUGUAGGGCAUUAGUUUGAUUGUGCAGGUGGUAAAAACCUCAUAAGCCUGAAUAAACUGACACACUACUGUAGCAUCACCUUGCUCUCAGAUGGAUUUGAGACAGUAGACGCCUGGAUGAGGAGGAUCCUGUGACUGUAACUGUCUGCAACUUUACACAUGGUCCAGACAUUUGUUUCUCUAAUCAGCUGUAAAAUAUAGUUUGUUUUGUUUGCUUUUUUCCCCCUCCCUCUGUCUGCUUUAUUAUUUUACCAGUUUUCUCAUGUUUAGAGAGCUGAAGACCAUUGGUGUAAAGGACACUUUAUAAAUAUCACAUGUUACGUUACAUGGCUGUUAGUGUGUAAAUGAAAGGUUAUUUCAAAUUAUUCAUAUCUAAGUAAGUAAAAGAAAUUUGCAAAACUUGUUUUGCAUGAGGAGAAAACAAGCUGCAAAAGAAAAAUGCAAAUGGAAUGUUGUCUUUGCACCUGCUGACCUACAGCAAGGAUUUUAUUGGUGGAUGACAAAGUGGAGUGAAGUCUUGGACUGCUAGAUUUGACAGGCUGCCCUGGUUCAGUUAUCACAGUGCUGAUGCUGUCCCCAUCGAAGGUACAGUACUGUGAUAACUGAAGGAUGGCUGCCAACUUGACACUAGUGCAGUGGUCAAAGUGGCACAGUCGGCUAACGAGGCAGAAGAACCAAAGAGAAGGUGGACAAGUGUGGGUAUGUAAACGGCAUUUGUUGUGAUAUGCUGAAUAAUAAAGUUUGUAAAGGAUGUCCAAGUGUC